AUUGAACGCUGGCGGCAGGCCUAACACAUGCAAGUCGAACGGUAGCACAAAGAGCUUGCUCUUGGGUGACGAGUGGCGGACGGGUGAGUAAUGUCUGGGAAACUGCCCGAUGGAGGGGGAUAACUACUGGAAACGGUAGCUAAUACCGCACAACGUCGCAAGACCAAAGUGGGGGACCUUCGGGCCUCACACCAUCGGAUGUGCCCAGAUGGGAUUAGCUAGUAGGUAGGGUAAUGGCUCACCUAGGCGACGAUCCCUAGCUGGUCUGAGAGGAUGACCAGCCACACUGGAACUGUGACACGGUCCAGACUCCUACGGGAGGCAGCAGUGGGGAAUAUUGCACAAUGGGCGCAAGCCUGAUGCAGCCAUGCCGCGUGUAUGAAGAAGGCCUUCGGGUUGUAAAGUACUUUCAGCGAGGAGGAAGGCAUUAAGGUUAAUAACCUUGGUGAUUGACGUUACUCGCAGAAGAAGCACCGGCUAACUCCGUGCCAGCAGCCGCAGUAA
Molecule: ribosomal RNA, 504 nt
Filed under: uncultured bacterium
Lineage: Bacteria
Description: partial 16S ribosomal RNA
Rfam family: Bacterial small subunit ribosomal RNA
Source: RNAcentral